GGUGGAGCAUGUGGUUUAAUUCGAAGCAACUGCGAAGUACCUUACCAGGGCUUGACAUCCUGAGGAACUUUCCAGAGAUGGAUUGGUCCCCUUCGGGGAACUCAGUGACAGGUGGUGCACGGUUGUCGUCAGCUCGUGUCGUGAGAUGUUGGGUUAAGUCCCGCAACGAGCGCAACCCACGUUGUUAGUUGCCUGUAAGAACCUGUUCUUGCAGUGCUCUCUAGCGAGACUGCCGGUGAUAAACCGGAGGAAGGUGUGGACGACGUCAAAUCAUCAUGCCCCUUAUGUCCUGGGCUACACACGUGUUACAAUGGGUGGGACAACGAGCAGCCAAUCAGCGAUGAUGAGCAAAUCUCUUAAACCUACUCUCAGUUCGGAUCGUAGUCUGCAACUCGACUACGUGAAGUCGGAAUCGCUAGUAACCGUAGAUCAGCACGCUGCGGUGAAUACGUUCCCGGGUCUUGUACACACUGCCCGUCACACCAUGGAAGCUGAUCACGCCCGAAGUCAGUGUGCUAACUCAAUGAGA
This 529-nucleotide ribosomal RNA is filed under the name uncultured organism. RNAcentral describes it as "bacterial SSU rRNA". It matches the Rfam family "Bacterial small subunit ribosomal RNA", at positions 931 to 1447 of the family's 1533-position model. The record is from RNAcentral.